GGUAGGGUAGAACUAACCUGUCAAAUGUUCAGUGUGACAGGUUAGAUCUGCUGUACAGG
RNAcentral lists this microRNA precursor (59 nucleotides) under Xenoturbella bocki. RNAcentral describes it as "Xbo-Novel-6_pre stem-loop". Lineage: Eukaryota; Metazoa; Xenacoelomorpha; Xenoturbellidae. The record is from RNAcentral.